GGAGUUUCACCUUGAAAACAGUAUAAAACAAUCAUGCUCCGUCAGUCAUUAUUAUGAUGCACUGGCAAUUUGUGUCUUUGUUCACUUCCACCCAGUCCUGGCUUGUCUGUAUUUGUCAUUCUAAAAAGUCUUUGGGACGUUUCUUGGCAUGACCCUUUUUUCUUUGUCAGUGGUAACUGAAAAGCAUUUGGUCAAGAGGAGAAGAAGAAGAGGAAACAUGCAUGGAUUGGCAAGUGGUACGUCUUCAUGCCGAGUUAGUGCUGGAGAGACAGGGUUUCCUUGGUGGCUUACCUAACCCUAUCCAUGCAUUAUCCGGUCAGCAUUCAGGUUAGGUAGCUGCCAUUGUUAGCCUACUAAAUUCAAUUCAGUUUGGCAACGUUAGCUGUCUGGCAACUUACGGCUGAAGAAUAAGAUUCCAAUCUACUUCUCUCGGCUCAUAUGGGCUAGCCAGCUAUAGUUAGCUAGGUAAUAGGGGGUGAAUUGGAAAAUCCUACUGUGUAAAAAAGAUGCAAAAAAGUAAUAAUAAAAAAGAAAGAGCACUGAAAAGAAUACUGCAUAGUGUGCCUUUAAUUCUCUUCUCUUUAGCCAUCGAUCAUAGGCAUGCUAAAAGGAACUGCUAGAUGGGCAUUCUUUGGCACUUGACUUGCUUCCUCAUAACCGCAUGUACCUUUUGCCCUGGUGAGCCAGUUUUUCCGGGGAAACCAUCCUGCCCAGCUGCUCCUGGUGCUCCAGGUAUCCCAGAUGCACCCGGUAUUCCAGAAAAACCUGAGGAAUGAAAAGAGAAAUCAUUUUAUUUGUACAACAGCAACUCAAUACCUUUAACCUGCUUUUGUAUUUCAGGCAUCUGCAAUAUAUGGAGGAAGGGGAAAGAGCGUUGGUUGUGGGUGGGUACGGGGUACCUUUAGGGCCUGGGAGGCCAGGUAAUCCAAUUCCUGGGAGGCCUGGGUCACCCUUCUGUCCAGGGAAACCUGGCAUGCCAGUGUCCCCUCGAGGACCUUGAUCACCUGGGGAGACACCAUCACAGUUGUACUGUCAUUCACCCCUCAUCUUUACUGACCUUCACCUCUAAUCUUUACUGACCUUCAACCCCUAAUCUUUACUGACCUUCACCUCUAAUCUUUACUGACCUUCGACCCUUAAUUUGUACUGACCUUCACCUCUAGUCUUUACUGACCUUCGACCCUUAUCUUUAUUGACCUUUGACCCUAACCUUUACUUCCCAACUAACAAGAUUACAGACUAAUAACAGAAACAGAGAUUCAAUCAGAGAGUGAAAUGCAAAAAGAGAUUAUUUGGGACCUUCCUGUUCCUGUUGCCAUAACUUGCAGUAUUUGCCUUUUUUCAGACCGGUUCCUCUGUGCUGGCCCAUGCAAUAGUCUGAAAAAAGGAACACCUUCACUGCUCACCUUGCCGGCCAGGUCUUCCCAUGUCCCCUCGAGGUCCAGGGACACCUUGUGGCCCAGUACCCUUCAUAAGAGCACCUGGAUCAGGACCACCGUGACCCAGAAGGGCCAGACUACUCACCCGGGGUCCUGGAGGUCCUACGGGUCCAUUUUGGCCUGGAAUUCCGGGACCUCCCUGCGCUCCCUGCGAAAAGUUUAAUGGACAAAAAUGUUCGGAAGCAAACACUUCCCAGGCCUGAGUGACGGGUUCUGUUCGGAGUGCAGAGCCACGCGUCUGUUCGAACUCAACCGCCGUCUUUCAGCCGACCGCAGCGCGAACGUACCUGCUGACCGGGCAUUCCGCUGAAACCCUUCUCUCCUUUCUUUGGGAUGAAGCCGCCGAUGAUGCCGCCGGCAUCCCCCUGGGAGAAACACGCAAAGCUGGUUGUUCAGUUCCUUGCUUCGUUCAGGAAGACGCAGAGUUGCAGCUCCUUCACUGAAAUGCAUGCAGGAGGCCGCAUGCAUGUCUGCAGCCCGUACAGCCGUUUGCUCCAGAGGACUGCUCCGCCUGCGCAGCUAACGCAUAUGGACCACAGGGCCCGGCCAAACAGGGCUGACAAUGCAUGAGCAGGUGGGAGGGACACCCAGCCGACAGAAUCUGACAUUCAAAAAGAGAAAUUACCACCAAAAAACUCCCCUUUCUCCUACCUUGUCUCCUGUCAAUCCGGGGAUACCCUGAAAAAGAAUUCGUAGAGAAGGAUAUAUGUGUUACCAAUAACGACAAUAUACAGGUAAAUGCAAAUGUAUUGGGACAGUUGUGGCAAAUUGGUCAUUUUUCCUCUGUGCUAAUCAAAUUAGUAUUGUCAAAUCAAGCAAUGACUUUGAGGCAAAAUUUUCAAUGUGCAUUUAUUUUAUGUGUU
Anguilla anguilla (European eel) is the source of this 2302-nucleotide long non-coding RNA. RefSeq lists it as uncharacterized. The transcript has 3 exons. The record is from RefSeq and is a predicted model, not a curated record. NCBI's taxonomy places the organism in Eukaryota, Metazoa, Chordata, Actinopteri, Anguilliformes, Anguillidae.